GACCACUGCGGUGGCCUAGUGGUUAGAGCAUCCUCCAUGGAUGUGGAAGGUCGUGGGUUCCAACCCCGGCUAAGUCA
Molecule: non-coding RNA, 77 nt
Organism: Potamilus streckersoni
Lineage: Eukaryota; Metazoa; Mollusca; Bivalvia; Unionida; Unionidae
Source: the annotation of a GenBank genome assembly